Molecule: unclassified non-coding RNA, 240 nt
Filed under: soil metagenome
Description: partial contains 5.8S ribosomal RNA, internal transcribed spacer 2, and large subunit ribosomal RNA
Source: RNAcentral
AAGACUAUAGACCUGCGGAGUACCUGCGGAGGGAUCAUUAUCGAGUUUUGACUGGGUUGUAGCUGGCCUUCCGAGGCAUGUGCACGCCCUGCUCAUCCACUCUACACCUGUGCACUUACUGUGGGUUUCAGACGGCGUAGCGAGCCUUUACGGGUUCGUGAAAGCGUCUGUGCCCGCGUUUAUUACAAACUCUUACAAGUAAAAGAAUGUGUAUUGCGAUAUAACGCAUCUAUAUACAAC